This 305-nucleotide ribosomal RNA is filed under the name uncultured bacterium. RNAcentral's name for it is "bacterial SSU rRNA". It matches the Rfam family "Bacterial small subunit ribosomal RNA", at positions 337 to 634 of the family's 1533-position model. The record is from RNAcentral.
GCCUACGGGGGGCAGCAGUAGGGAAUCUUCCACAAUGGGCGAAAGCCUGAUGGAGCAACGCCGCGUGGGUGAAGAAGGUCUUCGGAUCGUAAAACCCUGUUGUUAGAGAAGAAAGUGCGUGAGAGUAACUGUUCACGUUUCGACGGUAUCUAACCAGAAAGCCACGGCUAACUACGUGCCAGCAGCCGCGGUAAUACGUAGGUGGCAAGCGUUAUCCGGAGUUAUUGGGCGUAAAGGGAACGCAGGCGGUCUUUUAAGUCUGAUGUGAAAGCCUUCGGCUUAACCGGAGUAGUGCAUUGGAAACU